UACAGAGGGUGCAAGCGUUAAUCGGAAUUACUGGGCGUAAAGCGUACGUAGGCGGUUUGGUAAGUCGGAUGUGAAAUCCCCGGGCUCAACCUGGGAAUUGCAUUCGAGACUGCCUGGCUAGAAUGCGGCAGAGGGAAGCGGAAUUUCCGGUGUAGCAGUGAAAUGCGUAGAUAUCGGAAGGAACAUCAGUGGCGAAAGCGGCUUCCUGGUCCAGCAUUGACGCUCAGGUACGAAAGCGUGGGGAGCAAACAGG
Molecule: ribosomal RNA, 253 nt
Filed under: uncultured bacterium
Lineage: Bacteria
Description: partial 16S ribosomal RNA
Rfam family: Bacterial small subunit ribosomal RNA
Source: RNAcentral